This 465-nucleotide ribosomal RNA is filed under the name Vreelandella stevensii. Its description in RNAcentral is "partial 16S ribosomal RNA". It matches the Rfam family "Bacterial small subunit ribosomal RNA", at positions 338 to 795 of the family's 1533-position model. The record is from RNAcentral. Lineage: Bacteria; Pseudomonadati; Pseudomonadota; Gammaproteobacteria; Oceanospirillales; Halomonadaceae.
CCUACGGGGAGCAGCAGUGGGGAAUAUUGGACAAUGGGCGAAAGCCUGAUCCAGCCAUGCCGCGUGUGUGAAGAAGGCCUUCGGGUUGUAAAGCACUUUCAGUGGGGAAGAAAGCCUUGGGGCUAAUACCCUCGAGGAAGGACAUCACCCACAGAAGAAGCACCGGCUAACUCCGUGCCAGCAGCCGCGGUAAUACGGAGGGUGCGAGCGUUAAUCGGAAUUACUGGGCGUAAAGCGCGCGUAGGCGGUCUGAUAAGCCGGUUGUGAAAGCCCCGGGCUCAACCUGGGAACGGCAUCCGGAACUGUCAGGCUAGAGUGCAGGAGAGGAAGGUAGAAUUCCCGGUGUAGCGGUGUAAUGCGUAGAGAUCGGGAGGAAUACCAGUGGCGAAGGCGGCCUUCUGGACUGACACUGACGCUGAGGUGCGAAAGCGUGGGUAGCAAACAGGAUUAGAUACCCUGGUAGUC